Long non-coding RNA from Oreochromis aureus, 330 nucleotides. Lineage: Eukaryota; Metazoa; Chordata; Actinopteri; Cichliformes; Cichlidae. The record is from Ensembl.
UGAGAAAAGAAGUUAUUACACCAUCAGUUUCAUUGUCCUGGGCAGCAAUGUUUGUUGGAAGUACUUAUGUGGGUUUUUUUUAAUGUGUUUUUUUCAGGAGGAGCUCGCAAAUGGGCGUGUCCCAGUAAGUAUUUCUCCAGGGUUUUUUUUUUUCCCCCCCAGCAAAAGUAAGUACCUAUGCAGUAGUAGCACCCAGAUUUUCAGCAUAAUGGUAUUUUGCAUUGCAUUGCUGUUUUGAUGCAGUUUUCUGUCUUCAUUUAUGUUGGAAGUGAUAAGUAGAGCCGUACGUUUUAAUUUUUUUCAGAAAUCUCUCAGACCGUGGUAUAUCAU